ACAGCGUGUUUCACUUAAUAGCUAGAGAAACGAAAAAAUUACAGCUAAAUAAUAUAAGAUUAAAACGGUUUUUCUUUUAGUAAGAUUAGGACCAAGUCGUACAAACUUUCCGUAACGAUUUACUGAACUAUCAUAACACUUACAGAUCUGUAAACUAGAUUUAGUGUUGCUUGAGCGUGCUGUAUUAUUUUAGAUUUACUGUAGUCCUAUAUAAACUA
Molecule: non-coding RNA, 218 nt
Organism: Cinara cedri
Lineage: Eukaryota; Metazoa; Arthropoda; Insecta; Hemiptera; Aphididae
Source: the annotation of a GenBank genome assembly